Molecule: small nuclear RNA, 36 nt
Filed under: Cervus elaphus hippelaphus
Lineage: Eukaryota; Metazoa; Chordata; Mammalia; Artiodactyla; Cervidae
Source: RNAcentral
UUCUCGGCCUUUUAGCUAAGAUCAAGGGUAGUAUCU